GGCGAACGGGUGAGUAACACGUGAGCAACCUGCCCUUGACUUUGGGAUAACUUCAGGAAACUGGGGCUAAUACCGGAUAGGAGCUCCUGCUGCAUGGUGGGGGUUGGAAAGUUUCGGCGGUUGGGGAUGGACUCGCGGCUUAUCAGCUUGUUGGUGGGGUAGUGGCUUACCAAGGCUUUGACGGGUAGCCGGCCUGAGAGGGUGACCGGCCACAUUGGGACUGAGAUACGGCCCAG
RNAcentral lists this ribosomal RNA (236 nucleotides) under uncultured Actinomycetales bacterium. RNAcentral's name for it is "partial 16S ribosomal RNA". It matches the Rfam family "Bacterial small subunit ribosomal RNA", at positions 97 to 334 of the family's 1533-position model. The record is from RNAcentral. Lineage: Bacteria; Bacillati; Actinomycetota; Actinomycetes; Actinomycetales.